Molecule: long non-coding RNA, 1655 nt
Organism: Salvia miltiorrhiza (redroot sage)
Lineage: Eukaryota; Viridiplantae; Streptophyta; Magnoliopsida; Lamiales; Lamiaceae
Exons: 3
Source: RefSeq, a predicted model, not a curated record
UCAAUUAUGUGGAUAGUUUUUCCUGAUCAUCAUCUUUUUUCUCCCUAUUUUUUUGUUUUCCUUCGCUUCUUCUUCUCGGAGGCUUCAUAGAAGAGCAAGAAAACAGAAGGUCCAAUUAAUUCACGAAGGUGUAGAGAACGAAAUUCAGUGAACGUGAAUUGUGAUGGCCAUGAGAACGAAAUUUCUUCUUAUACGCUGCGAAAAGGAGUGCGUCACACCCAAAGAGGAGAGAUUUUUUGUGGGGAAGGCCUACACUUUCUGACACUUCAUUGAAAGCUCUUCUUUCUCGAGUCUUCUUUCACUUUUCUGAAAGUUCUUUCUUUUCUCGAUUUUUUGCAUCGUCUACCUUGUCAUUCGUUAGAAAAAUCAAAAGUUAAAUGUGUUUAUUUCAGAACAGCUUAUUCUUAUCGUACAUUAAGAAGCACAUUUAAGAAAAGUUUUUUUUUUUUAUUUUGAGAGUUCAAGAAAAGGUUUUUAUGUUAAAUUGAAUCUCAUUUGUUUUUUUUUUUGUAAGAUACUUUUUGUUGGUGUGCUGCUCGUUUUGUGAUGUUGAAAUGAGAAAUUUAUGGAAAUGGAAGUUUAUGGAAAUUUAUUGCUGCAUCUUCACGAAGAUGUAAAUUCUUAUUCAUGAAAAAUCUACCCCACGUUCGUUCAAAUAAUCCUAAAAUUUUGGGAAGAAAACUGUCAAAAAAAUUGCCGGGAAAAAAUGACCGUUGAACUGGUCUUUUAUAUUAUACUCCAUAUAGAUUUCACAAUUCAUCAACUUAUCAACUUCUCCCUCGCAAGAAGGCUCAAGCGAGUACAACACUUAUCAGUUCAAGCAUUCUUCAGGCUUUGUGACCAAGGGGAUUAGCGUUGCUUUCCCAAGACAGGUUUAUAUGUGUAUGAUCUUCAGGCUUUGCCUAUCCAGGCUCGCCACAACGAAUCAAUUGAGGUUCUCUUAUGGCCUACCACGUUAUUUGAGAAUUGUGUACACUCGUUAGCUGGCCUGGUGGGUUUGAUCUCCAUCGGGCACUAACUAAGAGGCGUUAUAAGGGUGCUUGCUGGAUGUGUUCCAAAGAAUGUAAUGUAAGGCCUGCCUGGAUAGCGUCUCGAGGUCAAUUCAACUUGUCUGAGUUACGUCCUCAGGGCAAAUGCAAUGGGAGAAAUGGAUCCGUCGGUGGCUAAAAGGUCCGGGAUCACAGCGAGUAACGGAAAGGGAGUGUGACAUGUACGCACAAAUGAAAGAAAUUAUUUUAACAUGCUUAGAAGUUCUUUCAAUUUAAAACCUUCUAAGUUAUGUCAAUUAUGAUUGGAUAAACUGUCUUUACGAAAAUAUGAAAUGUUUCAGAAAAUGCAUGCCCACUGAGUACAUUACUAUUUAGCCCAAAAAUACUUUCAAUUAUUUUCAGGUUGGCUGGUCGGUGCUGACGGGACUGAGCUGAGGUUAGGGUUCAACUUCUUAUUAAGACUUCCGUUGUAACACUAAAUAAUAUCUUGUCUUUUGUUUUCCCUAAGUUAAGACUUUCAUAUUCUAUUUCAAAUUACAUAUAGUUUUAUGCUAAUGAAUGUUGGUUAUCAGAAGCAUGAAACAAAACUUGUGAUCUAAAGGGGCCUAGCCCAACUUGUUACAUUCUAUUCGGUUUCAACAAGGAUUUUCCCUUGUAUUAUUUUCA